UACGAAGGGUGCAAGCGUUACUCGGAAUUACUGGGCGUAAAGCGUGCGUAGGUGGGUCGUUAAGUCUGAUGUGAAAGCCCUGGGCUCAACCUGGGAAUGGCAUUGGAUACUGGCGACCUAGAGUGCGGUAGAGGGGUGUGGAAUUCCCGGUGUAGCAGUGAAAUGCGUAGAUAUCGGGAGGAACAUCUGUGGCGAAGGCGACACCCUGGACCAGCACUGACACUGAGGCACGAAAGCGUGGGGAGCAAACAGG
Molecule: ribosomal RNA, 253 nt
Filed under: uncultured bacterium
Lineage: Bacteria
Description: partial 16S ribosomal RNA
Rfam family: Bacterial small subunit ribosomal RNA
Source: RNAcentral